This 468-nucleotide ribosomal RNA is filed under the name uncultured bacterium. RNAcentral's name for it is "partial 16S ribosomal RNA". It matches the Rfam family "Bacterial small subunit ribosomal RNA", at positions 28 to 507 of the family's 1533-position model. The record is from RNAcentral.
GACGAACGCUGGCGGCGUGCUUAACACAUGCAAGUCGAACGGAAAGGCCCUGCUUUUGUGGGGUGCUCGAGUGGCGAACGGGUGAGUAACACGUGAGUAACCUGCCCUUGACUUUGGGAUAACUUCAGGAAACUGGGGCUAAUACCGGAUAGGAGCUCCUGCUGCAUGGUGGGGGUUGGAAAGUUUCGGCGGUUGGGGAUGGACUCGCGGCUUAUCAGCUUGUUGGUGGGGUAGUGGCUUGCCAAGGCUUUGACGGGUAGCCGGCCUGAGAGGGUGACCGGACAAGUUGGGACGGAGAUAAGACACAGACUAGUACGGGAGGCAGCGGUGGGGAAGAUUGUACAAGGGGAGGAAGGAAGAUGUAGCAAAGCAGCGUGCGGGAAGAGGGGAAGCGGGUUGUAAACCGAUGUCGCCUGUGACGAGACGUGAGUGACGGUAAUGGGUAAAGAAGCACCGGCUAACUACGUG